GUCAAACAAGGAAAAAGGAGGCAGAAAGGAGGAGGGAGGCAACCAAAACUGGUGGGGGGCCUCCACCAUCAAGCCUGACAGAAAUGGAACAGCGGGUUGUAUCAUUCCUGCCUUCAUGCACUAUUCAAGGUUGUGAUGGUGGCCUUGAAAGUGAGGAAUUUGAAUACACUACUCCGGCCACCCCUGAGACUCUCCAUGUACUGCCGGAUUUGCCACGUGAUGGGGCCUACAGUCUGCCUACCUACUUAGAGAGUUUGUUGUCAGCAGAUGAUGUUCCCCAAGGUUGUUAACAUGUACAUCAUGGAUAUAAUGCUCAUUAAGUUUAGGACAAGACAUUUAUAGGGUUCUGUGUGGAGAGAGAAUUAUGACAGUUUUAAGCAAGUAAUCUAUCACAACAUAAUAUGACAUCAUAUCUACAAUAUCAUAGUAUCACAGGUUUUACUGGAAUGGCUCAAUGACUUGA
Haliotis rubra (blacklip abalone) is the source of this 463-nucleotide long non-coding RNA. RefSeq lists it as uncharacterized. The record is from RefSeq and is a predicted model, not a curated record. The transcript has 3 exons. Lineage: Eukaryota; Metazoa; Mollusca; Gastropoda; Lepetellida; Haliotidae.